Molecule: small nuclear RNA, 95 nt
Filed under: Otolemur garnettii (small-eared galago)
Lineage: Eukaryota; Metazoa; Chordata; Mammalia; Primates; Galagidae
Source: RNAcentral
AUGGCAGCACAUAUACUAAAACUGGAACAAUACAAAGAUUGGCACAGUCCCUGAGCAAAGAUGACCUGCAAAUUUGUGAAGUGACUCAUCUAGAA